Molecule: ribosomal RNA, 1957 nt
Filed under: human gut metagenome
Description: bacterial LSU rRNA
Rfam family: Bacterial large subunit ribosomal RNA
Source: RNAcentral
AAGAACCCCGGGAGGGGAGUGAAAGAGAACCUGAAACCGUAUGUCUACAAGCAGUCGGAGCGAAAGCGACGGCGUGCCUAUUGAAGAAUGAACCAACGAGUUACGUGCACUAGCGAGGUUAAGUGGAAGACACGGAGCCGAAGCGAAAGCGAGUCUUAAGAGGGCGGAUAGUUAGUGUACGUAGACCCGAAACCGCAGUGAUCUACCCAUGUCCAGGUUGAAGCGCAGGUAAAAUUGCGUGGAGGACCGAACCUGUGAGCGUUGAAAAGCUUUAGGAUGAGAUGUGGGUAGAGGUGAAAUUCCAAUCGAACGCGGAGAUAGCUGGUUCUCCCCGAAAUAGCUUUAGGGCUAGCCUCAAGUAGUAAGUAUAGGCGGUAGAGCACUGAUCGGGCUAGGGGCCAUAAAGGUUACCGAACCCUGUCAAACUCCGAAUGGUUAUACUGUAGAGCUUGGGAGUCAGACUACGAGUGAUAAGAUCCGUGGUCAAAAGGGAAACAGCCCAGACCACCAGCUAAGGUCCCCAAUGUCGUACUAAGUGGAAAAGGAUGUGGGGUCUCUAAAACAACCAGGAUGUUGGCUUAGAAGCAGCCACCAUUUAAAGAGUGCGUAAUAGCUCACUGGUCGAGAGACCCUGCGCCGAAGAUUACCGGGGCUAAAGUACGAAACCGAAGCUGUGGCUACGACGUAAGUCGUGGGGUAGGGGAGCGUUCUGUGAGGGCUGAAGUCGUUCUGUAAGGAACGGUGGACUUCACAGAAGUGAGAAUGUUGGUAUGAGUAGCGAAAAGAAUGGUGAGAAUCCAUUCCACCGAAAGCAUAAGGAUUCCUGGGCAACGAUCGUCGUCCCAGGGUAAGUCGGGACCUAAUCCGAGGCAUAGAGCGUAGGAGAUGGACAACUGGCAGAUAUUCCAGUACCGGUAAUGAUUGUUUGAGCGAUGGAGUGACACAGGAGGGCAGGCAGGCAGGAGAUUGGUUGUUCCUGUACAAGCGUGUAGGAUGGGUUGUAGGCAAAUCCGCAACCUGUGAGUCUGAGGCGUGAUGUGGAGGUUCCGGAAACGGAACUGAAGCUGCUGACCCCACACUGUCGAGAAAAGCUUCUAGUUAGAGAAUUACCGCCCGUACCGUAAACCGACACAGGUAUGCGGGGAGAGAAUCCUAAGGUGCGCGGGAGAACCCUCGUUAAGGAACUCGGCAAAAUGUACCCGUAACUUCGGGAUAAGGGUAGCCGCUGUUGUGAAGUCUGAACAGACGGAGCAUGAGGCGGUCGCAGAGAAGAGGCCCAAGCGACUGUUUACCACAAACACAGGUGCCUGCUAAAGAGAAAUCUGACGUAUAGGUGCUGACACCUGCCCAGUGCCGGAAGGUUAAGGAAGGAUGUCCGGAGCAAUCCAAAGCAUUCGACCGAAGCCCCGGUGAACGGCGGCCGUAACUAUAACGGUCCUAAGGUAGCGAAAUUCCUUGUCGGGUAAGUUCCGACCCGCACGAAAGGUGUAACGAUUUGGGCACUGUCUCAACGAGGGACCCGGUGAAAUUGAAGUACCUGUGAAGAUGCAGGUUACCCGCGACUGGACAGAAAGACCCCAUGGAGCUUUACUGUAACCUGACAUUGGGUUCUGAUACAUCACGUACAGGAUAGGUGGGAGGCAUGGAAGCGAGGACGCUAGUCUUCGUGGAGCCGCCGUUGGGAUACCACCCUUGAUGUAUCGGAAUUCUAACCGUAGGAGUAACGAAACUCGGGACAGUGUCAGGCGGGCAGUUUGACUGGGGCGGUCGCCUCCCAAAGAGUAACGGAGGCGCCCAAAGGUUCCCUCAGCGCGGCCGGAAAUCGCGCGAAGAGUGUAAAGGCAGAAGGGAGCUUGACUGAGAGCCAAACACGGCGAUCAGGUACGAAAGUAGGGCUUAGUGAUCCGGUGGCAUCCAAGUGGAAGGGCCAUCGCUCAACGGAUAAAAGCUACCCUGG